RNAcentral lists this ribosomal RNA (427 nucleotides) under uncultured Lactobacillus sp. Its description in RNAcentral is "bacterial SSU rRNA". It matches the Rfam family "Bacterial small subunit ribosomal RNA", at positions 968 to 1397 of the family's 1533-position model. Lineage: Bacteria; Bacillati; Bacillota; Bacilli; Lactobacillales; Lactobacillaceae. The record is from RNAcentral.
ACCUUACCAGGUCUUGACAUCCUUUGACCACUCUAGAGAUAGAGCUUUCCCUUCGGGACAAAGUGACAGGUGGUGCAUGGUUGUCGUCAGCUCGUGUCGUGAGAUGUUGGGUUAAGUCCCGCAACGAGCGCAACCCUUAUUACUAGUUGCCAGCAUUUAGUUGGGCACUCUAGUGAGACUGCCGGUGACAAACCGGAGGAAGGUGGGGACGACGUCAAAUCAUCAUGCCCCUUAUGACCUGGGCUACACACGUGCUACAAUGGAUGGUACAACGAGUUGCGAGACCGCGAGNUUUAGCUAAUCUCUUAAAACCAUUCUCAGUUCGGAUUGUAGGCUGCAACUCGCCUACAUGAAGCCGGAAUCGCUAGUAAUCGCGGAUCAGCAUGCCGCGNUGAAUACGUUCCCGGGCCUUGCACACACCGCCCGU